This 496-nucleotide ribosomal RNA is filed under the name uncultured bacterium. Its description in RNAcentral is "bacterial SSU rRNA". It matches the Rfam family "Bacterial small subunit ribosomal RNA", at positions 8 to 507 of the family's 1533-position model. The record is from RNAcentral.
AGAGUUUGAUCAUGGCUCAGGAUGAACGCUAGCGGCAGGCCUAAUACAUGCAAGUCGAACGCUCAGUAGCAAUACUGGGAGUGGCGCACGGGUGCGUAACGCGUACACAAUCUACCUCUAAGCGGGGGACACCUCCUGGAAACGGGGAUUAAUACCGCAUAAUAUGCCGAGGUCGCAUGACUUUGGUAUUGAAGCAGCAAUGCACUUAGAGAUGAGUGUGCGUCCCAUCAGGUAGUUGGUGAGGUAACGGCUCACCAAGCCUAUGAUGGGUAGCCGGUCUGAGAGGAUGGUCGGCCACACGGGCACUGAGACACGGGCCCGACUCCUACGGGAGGCAGCAGUAAGGAAUAUUGGUCAAUGGUGGAAACACUGAACCAGCCAUGCCGCGUGGAGGAAUAAGGUCCUACGGAUUGUAAACUCCUUUUGACGAGGAAGAAAGUGUUAGAUUUAUCUAAUUUUGACGGUACUCGUAGAAUAAGCACCGGCUAACUCCGUG